This 255-nucleotide ribosomal RNA is filed under the name uncultured bacterium. Its description in RNAcentral is "partial 16S ribosomal RNA". It matches the Rfam family "Bacterial small subunit ribosomal RNA", at positions 524 to 776 of the family's 1533-position model. The record is from RNAcentral.
UACGUAGGCAGCGAGCGUUGUUCGGAAUUACUGGGCGUAAAGAGUGUGUAGGCGGUGUUCCCAGUCUGUUGUGAAAUCUCCCGGCUUAACUGGGAGGGUGCAGCGGAAACUAGAAUGCUAGAGGGUGGGAGAGGUAAGCGGAAUUCCUGGUGUAGCGGUGAAAUGCGUAGAUAUCAGGAGGAACACCGGUGGCGAAGGCGGGUCUCUGGGCCGAUACUGACGCUGGAGGAGCGAAAGGCGUGGGGAGCGAACAGG